This 5446-nucleotide long non-coding RNA is filed under the name Ricinus communis (castor bean). RNAcentral's name for it is "long non-coding RNA (RCOM_LNC001220)". Lineage: Eukaryota; Viridiplantae; Streptophyta; Magnoliopsida; Malpighiales; Euphorbiaceae. The record is from RNAcentral.
AAAAAUUUCCUCUUACAUUGCUUUCUAAUUGUUUCAUAAGCUGAGAUGAGCUAAGAUUGCUUUAAACUUUUUCUUUCAAUGUUUGAAAAGAUUUUGUGUUGUUUUAUGAUUUUCUUUUUCCUAAAUUGAGUGAAUGUAAGCCAUAAAAGGAUAAGUGGACUUUGUGAGAUAAAAUUAAAUUCAUAGUUGAAUAAUCGCUGAAUAAUUGGAAUGAAUAAAACUUUGCUUUCCCUUAUAUGUUUGAUUCUAGCCACAAUAGUGAGUUCCACAAUUGUAAUUAUAUCAAUUGAGUGGAAGAACUAUACUUUUAUACAAAAGAGUUGGAAAUAAAAUCUAUAUAGAAGAAUUUAUAGAUUUUGAUGAGAAGAAUCAAAUAACAUGAAGCGUCUAGACCAUUAAAAUAUACAUUCUUAAAAUAAUAUUUCAAUUAGAUUUUAAUAAUAGUUUCAUACGAUGCUACCGUAAUUAUCACUUUGUAUAUAUCAAACAUCCAAGCAUUAAUUUGUAAACCUGUCACUUUAUGGGAACGAGAUGCUAUUAUUAGAUAAUGAGGGGACAAGUUUAUCAUGAAAAGUCGGAUGGUCCUUUAUUUAGAAGCAACAGACUUAAGCAAAAGCAUAAUACAUUAUCAGCGUAUGUAAUUUGAACAGAGCAUUCAAAGAUGUUACCCGAGUAAAUCUUGGAUACAUGAAAAAGUGCAAGCCUAUUAAAACUCCUACCAACGAGAAUGGUCCAAGCCAGAGAAGUGUUUAAUAACUCCACAUGAAUGGAACUAAAUUGAAAAUCUCCUCACGCUAGUGUCACUGGAAAUCUUAUAUGUGACUUUAUGAAAAAAAGAACUAAAAUGAUGAAUUCCUUCAUUGCACUUGGAAGCCUUAUAUAUGCAAUGAUAGGCAUAUAGGUCAAAAUUCUAAUUUACAAUUUGAAGGAUAAGUAGAUAUUAAUUGAAUCAAGGCUAAACACAUUAUAGAUGCGUCAAAAAAAGUAUUUUUCUUACUAUCAGUUAUUAAUUAUAUUGUACAGAAAACAAAUUACAACUCAUGAGCAACAUAAUUCUACUAGGUACUAAGAAGAGAGGGAGGAAUUGGUAUAUACAGAAAAGGAUAUUUAUAAAAACUUAGCAGAUUAAAAAUUAUAGAAAGGAAAAGUGAAAUAGAAGGAAUCAAUCAUAGAAAGAUGGACAAGAUUUGGUGGUUCGUCUACAUCCACUCUCUAAACUUCACUAUCAUAAACUAGAAUUACAACCUAAUUCUAUCUUUUCAAAACUCAAGAUAAACUCAAGUGUUUCUCUUAGAUUACACUCAACCUAAAAACUCAAGAUUACAUCAUUAUUUUGUUACAAAGAUUAAAUAACCUUCCUUGGUCAAUAAUCCAGUCAAGUGUUUGGAGGAUGAAUUUAUCUACCCGACUACCCAAUUAGUUCUUUGCAAGUUAAUAAUGUAUAAUAGAGAGAGAAAAUGGGUUUAUGGUUGUUGAGAGAUUGAUUUGCAAUUACGAGAGCUCAAAAGAUACACUUAGUUAAUCCUAAAUACAGUACAUCCAAAAGUAUAUGUUUAUACUUUCACAGAAAAGAGGGCCGUUAGAGUUUCAUCUAAUGCAAAUUUUUUCAUUCAACUACUAUAAUAAGUGUAGUGUCACAAGCGUGGCAUAAUGCUUCACAGGCGUGCCAUGUAGCACUAAGAGAAUUUUAAUUUUUCUGACAUCCCGAUCAUAAGCGAGAGUAUAUUUACAAGUGUGACUCUUGAUGUCUCAUGGGUACUCUAAGUUACGAAUCCUUAUGGCCAAAACUUCAUUUUGCUACUUGAGGAUGCAUCACAGGCAUGAAACGAAGUGUCACGAGUGUGAAUCUUAACCUUUCACGAGAGUAUCCCAAGUCACAAUUCAUUCUACCCAAAACUUCAUUUUAUCACUAGCGUCAUGGGCGUGAGAUAACUGUCGUGGGUGUGGCACCUGAUGUGUAAUGGGGAGCACUCCAAAUGUCAAGGGCAUAAGGCUGUUAUGUUUUGCUUUUAACAUCGUUUUAUUGUGAUCCAUUUUUGUAACCUCCAUAUAAUCAGUUAAGAGAUAUUUAACUGUAACAAAUUUAAUUACUUGUUAAUGUAAAAGGGCAUUGAUACCCUUAAGGCUCAAAUUUUCCAGGUUUUUAAUGGUAAAAUAAUAAUUGAAGCAAGGGGAUAAAAUUUAUAUAAAUCACAAAGUAGGAACUUCCCCUCACAAGAAUAACACAUGCUUAUAUAAUCAUCAAGGACGUGUGUGAUUAACUAGUUGAUAAGUAAAGAAAAAAUAGACCAAGGAAGACCAAUUUGCUAAAAGACUAGUUAAUAAAAAAAAGACAAUUUGCUAGGAAAGAGAAAUGAACAUAUCUUAUAAUUUGGUCAAAGAGAUUAGCUAUCAACAAGUUUUUCAAGUCUAACCCGAGCUUCAGAGUACCUCAAACAAUGGUUAGAAAGUACUAGACAAGAUUUUCUAACCACUCAUUUUGAUGGCUAAGUUAGUAAUAAUGUUAUGAAUGUAAGUAUGUAUUGAUUGUAGAAGAAUGAAUCUAUCUGACAUGUUGUGUCUCAGUCCUUUAUAUAAGAACUAAUGGUCUCCUAGUCUUACAAGGAUUAGGACUUCAUAAAUAUAAAUUUCUAUGACUUGGUCUUUAAAACUCCUAGUUGUACUUGAAUUUGGACUUACUCAAUCCCGCAUUUCUCAACUAUGACAACUCGGUAUGUGAUGCUCGGUUAUCAUUAGAUGUUCGACCAAUUAUGGUUGAUCAUCAUUGGAUGUUCAGCCUACUCUUGUAUGCUUGGCCGAUUCUUGUAUGCUCGUCCUACUCUUGUAUGCUUGGCCUAUUCUUGUUUGCUUGGCCUAUUCUUGUAUAAUAUACUCUUGUAUGCUUGACAUGCUCGGCCUAUAUUUUUUGGCCUAUAUUUUUCGGCCUUUAUUGUUAUCAUUAGCCUUAUACUAUAGUGAUAGAGUAUUUAUGCAUGGUAAUGAAUAACCUCUCAAAAGAUCUUGAUAUUAAGGAGAUUGGUCAGCAAGCUCGAAAAUAUAUUGUUUGUUGAGAUGCUUUCCUAAGAUUUCUUAAUCACUUUGGAUGAACUAGUAUUAUGCACUUCUUAGAGCUUGGUUACACAUUUGGAUGAACUAGUCUUCUACUGCCUAAUGAGCUCGUGUAGUUCUUCUCUAAAUGGGCUCAUAUAUUUUUACUCUCCAAUGGGCUCAUGUAUUAUUGCUCUUUAACAAGCUCAUGUAUUGUUGCUCUCCAUUGAGCUCAUGUAUUUUUCUUGCCAAUGAUCUUGCAUACUUCUGCUCUACAAUGAGCUCAUGCACUUUUUGUUCUCUAAUGAGCUGAUUAUUGAUGCUCUCUACUGAGCUCAUGUAUCUUUUCUAUAUAUUGAGUUGAUAUAAUUUUGCUUUAUAACGAACUAGGUGUGCUUAGAUCAGUUAUUUUAGGAUCAACACUUUUGAUGAGCUUAAGACCAACACUUUUUAUAUGCUUUGGUGCUCUCUCAUAAGCUUUUAAGAUCAACAAUUCAUUAUGUGCCUUGGUGUUCUCUCAAGAGCUUUGGAGAUUGAUGCUUUAUUAUGUGCCUUGAUGAUCUCUCAUGUGCUUUGAAAAUCAACACUUUAUUAUGUGCCUUAGUGCUCUCUCAUGAGCUUUUGAGAUCAGCAUUCUGUUAUAUGCCUUAGAGCUCUCUUAUGAUCUUUAGAGAUCAAUAUUUUAUUAUACACCUUGGUGCUUUCUUAUGAGCUUUGGAGAUUGACACUUUGUUAUAUGCAUUGGUUGUCUCUCAUGAGUUUUUGAGAUUGAUACCUUGAUAUGUGCUUUGGUGCUCUCUCAUGUGCUUUAGAUAUUGUCACUUUGUUAUGUGCCUUUGUGCUCUUUCAUGAGCUUUAUAGAUUGGGCACUUUAUUAUGUGCCUUGGUAUUCUCUCACGAGCUUUGCAAAUUAACACUGGAUUAUCUACCUUGGUGCUCUCUUAUGAGCUUUUGAGAUCAACACUUUGUUAUGUGCCUUAAUGCUCUCUCAUGAGCUUUGAAGAUUAACAUUUUGUUAUGUGCCUUAGUGCUCUCUCAUGAGCUUUGGAGAUCGACACUUUGUUAUAUGUGUUGGUAUUCUCUCAUGAGCUUUUGAGAUCGAUAAUUUGUUAUGUAUUUUGAUGCUCUCUCAUGAGCUUUGGAGAUCAACAUCUUGUUAUAUGCCUUGGUGCUCUUUCAUGAGCUUUGAAGAUCGACACUUUGUUAUAUGCUUUGGUGCUCUCUCAUGAGCUUUGAAAAUCAAAACUUUGUUAUGUGCCUUGGUGCUCUCUCAUGAGCUUUGAAAAUUUUAAAAAUCAACACUUUGUAAUGUGUCGUUGUGCUGUCUCAUGAGUUUUAAAGAUCAAUACUUAACAUUGUUUUACUCUUAUUAUCAUAUUCAAGUCCUCUCCUUACUUGUUUGGAUUGGUGCCUUGUGUGCCCAUGUGCUCAUCUUCCUUCUUUUGAUCCUUUUUAUUGUAUUGUAUUAUGAUUUCUGUUGGAGCUAAAGAUCAAUAAGUGAGAUAAGUGCAAUACUUACUUCUUGAUGCUGGAUGAGCUCCUAGAUGAAGAACAUCAGUGUCUUUGUUUGUCGUCAUUAGCAUGUGAUUUGAUUUCUAGAAAGACUUUCAAUUCUUUUAACCCACAAAUGGCACUAUUUGAUAACUUGGUUAAAGAGAUCAGCUAUCAAUAAGUUCUUCAAGUCAGACCCGUGCUUUAGAAUAUCUGAAUGAUGGCUAAGUCAGUGAUGAUGUUUUCAAUGUAAGUGUAUUUUGAUUGUAGAAGAAUAAAUCUACUUGACAUGUUGUGUCUCAGUCCUUUAUAUAGGGACUGAUGGUCUCCUAGUCCCACAAGGAGUAGGACUUCAUGAAUAUAAAGUUCUAUAAUCCUAUUAAGAUUAGUAUUACUGGAUAUACGAUAGAGUCCCAGGUCAUGCCAGAUUACUUAGUUAGAGUACGCCCAUGAUUUAGUCUUCAAGACUCCUAGUUUUACUUGGAUUUGGACUUAGUUAACCCCACAUUUCUCGGCUAUAAUAACUCGACAUAUGAUGCUCGGUUAUCAUUAGAUGUUCGACCUAUUAUGGUCCGCAAUCAUUGGAUGUUUGACCUACUGUUUUAUGCUCGGCCUAUUCUUGUAUGCUUGACCUAUUCUUGUAUACUCAGUCUACUCUUGUAUGCUCGGUUUACUCUUGUAUGCUCGGUCAAUUCUUGUAUGCUUGGCAUGCUCAGCCUAUAUUGCUCGACCUAUAUUUUGGUAAUUUAUCAAUAUCCAAGUUUUUCUCCUUCGUUGGCACCAUCAAAAAGAAGUAGAGACAAAAUAUGUCCUAUAAAUAUGACUAUCCAACAAACAUAUAAGAGAUCCUAAGAAUAUAAGCAAGUAGGAAAAAAUAAAAGUUAUAAGAUGGAUGAGGGAAGUGGGUUCAAAGGCAUCGAACAUUNNN